RNAcentral lists this long non-coding RNA (588 nucleotides) under Struthio camelus australis. Its description in RNAcentral is "lncRNA (ENSSCUG00000018156.1)". The record is from RNAcentral. Lineage: Eukaryota; Metazoa; Chordata; Aves; Struthioniformes; Struthionidae.
GAGAGAGAGAGAUUUUUUUAAACUAGAUCAAAAUCUACAAUUUUGUUGUUCAUCAGUGACUGUCUUUCACCCACCAUUAUUUUCCAUACUGAAAGCAGGAUGUAGACUUUUGUGGGUAAUGAGCAGAUAUAAAUACCUAUGAAUCAGAUAAAUUAUGCUGUAUUUCUUCAUUCCAGAGAAGCUGCUACAAUGAAGGAUGUAAGCAGAUGCUGUUGCCUUGGAGACUGCUCAUUCGAGUCUCGAUUGCACCAGGUGGAUGAUAUCUUUCUUCCUCAGGAGUAUGGAGAUGGUGGCUUUAUUCUCAAAAUGCACUUCUGAGAGAAGAGCUAUGUCCUUGCAACUCACUAUAUGGAAAACAUGGCUAUACUUCAGAAAAACCUCUGUUCUAUGUAGAAGUGAUUUAGAAUCCAAGAAUAUACUUACCUGGAAGAAAAAGAACCUAUUCAGUUGGAUCUUCUCCUGCUGUAGGAGAAAUUGCAUGGAACCCUGAUAAGAAAAGAUAUGACGGAUAACAGAUUUUACUGGACACCUUUUAGAAAUAGCCACGAAGGAGGUGCUUGCAAGGGUUGAGAUUCUUCAACAAGUGCA